CCCGGGUCUUGUACACACCGCCCGUCACACCAUGGGAGCGGGAUGUACCAGAAGUAGGUAGGCUAACCGCAAGGGGGCCGCUUACCACGGUGCGUUUCGUGACUGGGGUGG
RNAcentral lists this ribosomal RNA (111 nucleotides) under uncultured bacterium. RNAcentral's name for it is "partial 16S ribosomal RNA". It matches the Rfam family "Bacterial small subunit ribosomal RNA", at positions 1373 to 1483 of the family's 1533-position model. The record is from RNAcentral.